RNAcentral lists this ribosomal RNA (489 nucleotides) under uncultured bacterium. RNAcentral describes it as "partial 16S ribosomal RNA". It matches the Rfam family "Bacterial small subunit ribosomal RNA", at positions 30 to 507 of the family's 1533-position model. The record is from RNAcentral.
UUGAACGCUGGCGGCAGGCCUAACACAUGCAAGUCGAACGGUAACAGGAAGAAGCUUGCUUCUUUGCUGACGAGUGGCGGUCGGGUGAGUAAUGUCUGGGAAACUGCCUGAUGGAGGGGGAUAACUACUGGAAACGGUAGCUAAUACCGCAUAACGUCGCAAGACCAAAAAGGGGGACCUUCGGGCCUCUUGCCAUCGGAUGUGCCCAGAUGGGAUUAGCUAGUAGGUGGGGUAACGGCUCACCUAGGCGACGAUCCCUAGCUGGUCUGAGAGGAUGACCAGCCACACUGGAACUGAGACACGGUCCAGACUCCUACGGGAGGCAGCAGUGGGGAAUAUUGCACAAUGGGCGCAAGCCUGAUGCAGCCAUGCCGCGUGUAUGAAGAAGGCCUUCGGGUUGUAAAGUACUUUCAGCGGGGAGGAAGGGAGUAAAGUUAAUACCUUUGCUCAUUGACGUUACCCGCAGAAGAAGCACCGGCUAACUACGUG